GACGAACGCUGGCGGCGUGCUUAACACAUGCAAGUCGAACGGGCCUGCCUGGCUUUGGUUGGGUGGGUGAGUGGCGAACGGGUGAGUAACACGUGAGUAACCUGCCCUCUUCUCUUGGAUAACUGCUUGAAAGGGCGGCUAAUACGGGAUGUUCUGGCUGCCUCGCAUGGGGUGGUUUGGAAAGAUUCGGCCUGGUUUUGGUUGUUUUGGUGGGGGAUGGGCUCGCGGCUUAUCAGCUUGUUGGUGGGGUGAUGGCCUACCAAGGCGGUGACGGGUAGCCGGCCUGAGAGGGUGGACGGUCACACUGGGACUGAGACACGGCCCAGACUCCUGCGGGAGGCAGCAGUGGGGGAUUUUGCACAAUGGGCGCAAGCCUGAUGCAGCGACGCCGCGUGAGGGAUGGAGGCCUUCGGGUUGUGAACCUCUGUCGCCGGUGAUGUAGGCUCUGCUUUGUGGGUGGGGUA
RNAcentral lists this ribosomal RNA (464 nucleotides) under Actinomyces sp. oral taxon 448. RNAcentral's name for it is "bacterial SSU rRNA". It matches the Rfam family "Bacterial small subunit ribosomal RNA", at positions 28 to 470 of the family's 1533-position model. The record is from RNAcentral. Lineage: Bacteria; Bacillati; Actinomycetota; Actinomycetes; Actinomycetales; Actinomycetaceae.